GACGAACGCUGGCGGCGUGCUUAACACAUGCAAGUCGAACGGACAGGCCCUGCUUUUGCGGGGUGCUCGAGUGGCGAACGGGGGAGUAACACGUGAGUAACCCGCACCUGUCUUUGGGAUAACUUUAGGAAACUGGGGCUAAUACCGGAUAGGAGCUACUGCUGCACGGUGGGGGUUGGAAAGUUUCGGCGGUUGGGGAUGGACUAGCGGCUUCUCCGCUUGUUGGUGGAGUAGUGGCGUACCAAGGUUAUGACGGGUAGCCGGCCUGGGAGGUUGACCGGCCUCAUUGGGACUGCGGUAGGGCCCAGUCUCCUACGGGAGGCAGCGGUGGGGAAUCUUGCGCAGUGAGCGGGAGUCUGUUACGGCAGCGCCGCGUGCGUGAUGACGUGCUUCGGGUUGUGAACCGCUUUCGCCUGUAACGAAGCGUUAGUGACGGUACUGGGUAAGAAAGCACCGGCUAACUACGUG
RNAcentral lists this ribosomal RNA (468 nucleotides) under uncultured bacterium. RNAcentral's name for it is "partial 16S ribosomal RNA". It matches the Rfam family "Bacterial small subunit ribosomal RNA", at positions 28 to 507 of the family's 1533-position model. The record is from RNAcentral.